AGCGUACACGGUGGAUGCCCUGGCAGUCAGAGGCGAUGAAGGACGUGCUAAUCUGCGAUAAGCGUCGGUAAGGUGAUAUGAACCGUUAUAACCGGCGAUUUCCGAAUGGGGAAACCCAGUGUGAUUCGUCACACUAUCAUUAACUGAAUCCAUAGGUUAAUGAGGCGAACCGGGGGAACUGAAACAUCUAAGUACCCCGAGGAAAAGAAAUCAACCGAGAUUCCCCCAGUAGCGGCGAGCGAACGGGGAGCAGCCCAGAGCCUGAAUCAGUGUGUGUGUUAGUGGAAGCGUCUGGAAAGGCGCGCGAUACAGGGUGACAGCCCCGUACACAAAAAUGCACAUGCUGUGAGCUCGAUGAGUAGGGCGGGACACGUGGUAUCCUGUCUGAAUAUGGGGGGACCAUCCUCCAAGGCUAAAUACUCCUGACUGACCGAUAGUGAAUCAGUACCGUGAGGGAAAGGCGAAAAGAACCCCGGCGAGGGGAGUGAAAAAGAACCUGAAACCGUGUACGUACAAGCAGUGGGAGCACGCUUAGGCGUGUGACUGCGUACCUUUUGUAUAAUGGGUCAGCGACUUAUAUUCUGUAGCAAGGUUAACCGAAUAGGGGAGCCGAAGGGAAACCGAGUCUUAACUGGGCGUUAAGUUGCAGGGUAUAGACCCGAAACCCGGUGAUCUAGCCAUGGGCAGGUUGAAGGUUGGGUAACACUAACUGGAGGACCGAACCGACUAAUGUUGAAAAAUUAGCGGAUGACUUGUGGCUGGGGGUGAAAGGCCAAUCAAACCGGGAGAUAGCUGGUUCUCCCCGAAAGCUAUUUAGGUAGCGCCUCGUGAAUUCAUCUCCGGGGGUAGAGCACUGUUUCGGCAAGGGGGUCAUCCCGACUUACCAACCCGAUGCAAACUGCGAAUACCGGAGAAUGUUAUCACGGGAGACACACGGCGGGUGCUAACGUCCGUCGUGAAGAGGGAAACAACCCAGACCGCCAGCUAAGGUCCCAAAGUCAUGGUUAAGUGGGAAACGAUGUGGGAAGGCCCAGACAGCCAGGAUGUUGGCUUAGAAGCAGCCAUCAUUUAAAGAAAGCGUAAUAGCUCACUGGUCGAGUCGGCCUGCGCGGAAGAUGUAACGGGGCUAAACCAUGCACCGAAGCUGCGGCAGCGACACUAUGUGUUGUUGGGUAGGGGAGCGUUCUGUAAGCCUGUGAAGGUGUACUGUGAGGUAUGCUGGAGGUAUCAGAAGUGCGAAUGCUGACAUAAGUAACGAUAAAGCGGGUGAAAAGCCCGCUCGCCGGAAGACCAAGGGUUCCUGUCCAACGUUAAUCGGGGCAGGGUGAGUCGACCCCUAAGGCGAGGCCGAAAGGCGUAGUCGAUGGGAAACAGGUUAAUAUUCCUGUACUUGGUGUUACUGCGAAGGGGGGACGGAGAAGGCUAUGUUGGCCGGGCGACGGUUGUCCCGGUUUAAGCGUGUAGGCUGGUUUUCCAGGCAAAUCCGGAAAAUCAAGGCUGAGGCGUGAUGACGAGGCACUACGGUGCUGAAGCAACAAAUGCCCUGCUUCCAGGAAAAGCCUCUAAGCAUCAGGUAACAUCAAAUCGUACCCCAAACCGACACAGGUGGUCAGGUAGAGAAUACCAAGGCGCUUGAGAGAACUCGGGUGAAGGAACUAGGCAAAAUGGUGCCGUAACUUCGGGAGAAGGCACGCUGAUAUGUAGGUGAAGUCCCUCGCGGAUGGAGCUGAAAUCAGUCGAAGAUACCAGCUGGCUGCAACUGUUUAUUAAAAACACAGCACUGUGCAAACACGAAAGUGGACGUAUACGGUGUGACGCCUGCCCGGUGCCGGAAGGUUAAUUGAUGGGGUUAGCGCAAGCGAAGCUCUUGAUCGAAGCCCCGGUAAACGGCGGCCGUAACUAUAACGGUCCUAAGGUAGCGAAAUUCCUUGUCGGGUAAGUUCCGACCUGCACGAAUGGCGUAAUGAUGGCCAGGCUGUCUCCACCCGAGACUCAGUGAAAUUGAACUCGCUGUGAAGAUGCAGUGUACCCGCGGCAAGACGGAAAGACCCCGUGAACCUUUACUAUAGCUUGACACUGAACAUUGAGCCUUGAUGUGUAGGAUAGGUGGGAGGCUUUGAAGUGUGGACGCCAGUCUGCAUGGAGCCGGCCUUGAAAUACCACCCUUUAAUGUUUGAUGUUCUAACGUUGACCCGUGAUCCGGGUUGCGGACAGUGUCUGGUGGGUAGUUUGACUGGGGCGGUCUCCUCCUAAAGAGUAACGGAGGAGCACGAAGGUUGGCUAAUCCUGGUCGGACAUCAGGAGGUUAGUGCAAUGGCAUAAGCCAGCUUGACUGCGAGCGUGACGGCGCGAGCAGGUGCGAAAGCAGGUCAUAGUGAUCCGGUGGUUCUGAAUGGAAGGGCCAUCGCUCAACGGAUAAAAGGUACUCCGGGGAUAACAGGCUGAUACCGCCCAAGAGUUCAUAUCGACGGCGGUGUUUGGCACCUCGAUGUCGGCUCAUCACAUCCUGGGGCUGAAGUAGGUCCCAAGGGUAUGGCUGUUCGCCAUUUAAAGUGGUACGCGAGCUGGGUUUAGAACGUCGUGAGACAGUUCGGUCCCUAUCUGCCGUGGGCGCUGGAGAACUGAGGGGGGCUGCUCCUAGUACGAGAGGACCGGAGUGGACGCAUCACUGGUGUUCGGGUUGUCAUGCCAAUGGCACUGCCCGGUAGCUAAAUGCGGAAGAGAUAAGUGCUGAAAGCAUCUAAGCACGAAACUUGCCCCGAGAUGAGUUCUCCCUGACUCCUUGA
RNAcentral lists this ribosomal RNA (2786 nucleotides) under Escherichia coli. Its description in RNAcentral is "bacterial LSU rRNA". It matches the Rfam family "Bacterial large subunit ribosomal RNA". The record is from RNAcentral. Lineage: Bacteria; Pseudomonadati; Pseudomonadota; Gammaproteobacteria; Enterobacterales; Enterobacteriaceae.